GGUCUAAGCUGAGGAGAGAGUCUAAGCUUGGGGCCCAAGGCUGGAGUUCCCCAGGUAGGAGGGGCUGUGAUGCGAGCGACACCCGGCCCAGCACCGCCAGGCUGGGGACACUCCACUCCUUCAUCAGUUUAUUCCAAAAUAUUUUGAACCCCUGCUGUGCUCCAGGCGGCGUCAUAAACGGUGGGGACAAAAGAACGAGAUCGUCUCGUGCCCUUGCGGAGUUCACGGUGUAGAAAAGGAAACAACUAAUGGACAACUACACUGCAGAGCCAAGAGGGAGCGGUCAUAGAGGGGGCCCUGAACCAGACUUGGGGAGGUCAGGGAAGGCUUACUGGAGGAGCUGGUGGCUAAAAGAACUGAAGGAUGUGCAUGAAUUAUCCGGUUGGAGUGACCUGGGGAGGUAGAUUGUCCCAGGUGGAGCCGAAGGGGAGAGGGAGCCGACUGUCUGAAAACUGAAGGGUCUGAGGAGCCGAAAGAACUUGGUAUGGCCACACUUCACGUUCAGACCCCUGGAAAGAUGCAGAAAGAUUGUGUCUGAGGCUGGAUGUAUUCCACUAGGAGCAUGAUUGGUUGGUGAGGAUUUGGUGAGGAUUUCGAAUCUCCCACGUGCUGCGCAUUCCCGCUAGUGGAGGAGCUAAGAGGAUACUCGUGGACCGUUCCCUGCAAUUUACCUGAGCAUCUGUGAGCCAGGCACUCUGCAGGACCCUUAGGAUGUGCUGUGGAAGGAGGCAGUGUCUCUACGCAAAAGGAGCUACAAGUCUGCAGUGGGGGAGAGACCUGUACUCAGCGCUUGGAUGAGGUGCAUGGGAACACAGGCUACAUCACCUUAGACUUAUAAUGACAACAACGAACAUCCAAGUGACUCCCUGCAUCUACCUUCACUACGCCCAUCUGCCUGCAUAUUCUCUGAUGGAUCCACAGUCAACAAACACCUAGAGGGGUCUCUCCAUUAAGCACAGAGAUGCCUUGAAUCUUCCAGAAAGCUAGACUUCUGAGCUAAUCUGGGCCUAUUUCCCCGCUCUGGAGAGAUGCCCUCCAGCUCAUCAUUGCGGCGCUUGAUGUAAAUGGAAAAGGGGUAGGAAAGC
This is a long non-coding RNA of Balaenoptera musculus (blue whale), 1085 nucleotides long. RefSeq lists it as uncharacterized. The transcript is spliced from 3 exons. Lineage: Eukaryota; Metazoa; Chordata; Mammalia; Artiodactyla; Balaenopteridae. The record is from RefSeq and is a predicted model, not a curated record.